GGUCCCGCCUGCCCUGUGACAAAAGUUUAACGGCCGCGGUAUUUUGACCGUGCAAAGGUAGCGUAAUAACUUGUCUUUUAAAUAGAGACCUGUAUGAAUGGCAUAACGAGGGUCAACCUGUCUCCUUACUUUAGUCAGUGAAAUUAAUCUCCCCGUGCAGAAGCGGGGCUGCCACCAUAAGACGAGAAGACCCUAUGGAGCUUUUAGACGCCAGGGCACAACAAGCUAAGAACCCCUAAUUAAAGGUGAAAGCAAAAUGUACCUGCCCCCGUGUCUUUGGUUGGGGCGACCGCGGAGUAAAAAUUAACCCCCGCGUGGAAAUAGACCACACCUUUUAAUUUUAGAGCUACCGCUCACAGAAACAGAAAAUCUGACCAUACAGAUCCGGCACAACCGAUCCACGGACUUAGUUACCCUAGGGAUAACAGCGCAAUCCCUUCUUAGAGCCCCUAUCGACGAAGGAGUUUACGACCUCGAUGUUGGAUCAGGACAUCCUAAUGGUGCAGCCGCUAUUAAGGGUUC
This 522-nucleotide ribosomal RNA is filed under the name Schindleria sp. 24 TK-2010. RNAcentral's name for it is "partial 16S ribosomal RNA". It matches the Rfam family "Bacterial large subunit ribosomal RNA", at positions 1851 to 2574 of the family's 2925-position model. The record is from RNAcentral. Lineage: Eukaryota; Metazoa; Chordata; Actinopteri; Gobiiformes; Schindleriidae.